ACUGCUCCCCACCCAUCCCCACCCUUCUUCCUUUCACCGGCCUCCACCUCCCUGGACAGUGAUGCUGUUGAGAUCUAUACGGGAAGCAACUUGAGUUUGGUAGAAUGAAGACCAACGACAAAGUUAUAUUCAUCCACACUCUCUUCUUCUUCGCACUCUACUUCAUCCUAAUCUUGAUGUUCGCGUUCACAUCUACACCGAUUGAAUAAACCGGUUCCCAAGACUUGGGCUUUUCUUCGUCUUUUCGUUUUGUAAUCGAACGUAUUGUUCAGCUGAAAGAAUAAAUGAGAAAUCCCCUAUUUUUGUGUGGUUUUGUUUUUGUGAGUUUGAAGUUUGAACUCGCUUUUCAAGUUAGUGCGUUUUGGAUCUAAAAAAUAGACUUUUGUAAUUCAGGGGAAAGAUGAAUUGGCCAAACUCACAUCUUGAAGAUAACAUGUAGCUAACCAUUGCGCCUACGGUGGGAUAUUUUAAAGUCCUCACAAAAUCAUCACAGACAACAUCCCAAUUGAAUCAAGCCUCGCUUCAAGAGAACCCAUCACCACCUUCCUCUUCCCACACGCCGCUCUGUACAACUCUUCCAAUCCAGAGAGCGACUCUUCCUCCGUCAACACCACGGGGUCCCCCCCACCGGCAUGCCGAGAAUCAGCGCAACGUCCAGCAAGCUCAUCGAGAUCUCACCGGAACCAACCGCGAAGGCUUGCCGCUCGGAAUCCCAGGCCUUCAUCACCUCCGUGAGGAGAACUAGUAACUUGGUUGCGCGCUUCAAUUCUUUUUUCUUUUCUUCCAAUUUUUCCUUUCACUAUGACCUAAACCUAUUGAGCUUGAGCCUGUCGUUCACCCCUGUUCGCGUUCACCAUCGCUCACGUCUGCCAUUCUUAUUCGGCGAUUCGCCUUCAGCCGCUCGUCGCUGUCGUUCACCUCCGCUCGUACUUCUCGAGCUUCUUCUGUUCUUCCCCUCUGGUUCCUCUUCAGCGAUUCUCUGCCGUUUGCACCGCUCGCCCCCUUCCAUUGUUGUUGUUUCGGGGUUUUGGAGAAUCGCUGCUAUCAACGAAGCAGGAGGGUGGAAAGAUAGAAUAACAGUGGAAGACUUGAACCUUGCUGUUCGUGCCAAUCUUAGGGGAUGAAAACUUUUACACCUUGGUGACCUCCAGUCUUCUUAUUAUUCUACUCUCAGGAGGCUCCCAAUGGAAUGGACAGAAGUUGUCAUUCCACUUGUGGAAUCAGGAUAUGUAAAGGUUUGAGGAUGAUGGAUUGUUGCUCUACAUAGCCAGCAAAUGAUGCGCGAAAUCAUGUGGUUAGUGAGAACUUUUUACGAUGGAGUUGAGAUGGUGAUGGUCACUGCAUUCACAUUAAGAGGAUUUAAGGUGCAUACAAGAUCUAGUAUUGAAGUUGAUUCAAGGUUUGACAAUGAGAAAGCCUUUCUACUAUAGCCCAGUUCAUGGAGGAUAAGCAUAAGAUGAUGCUUCUGGGGAAUUUCAAGAAUAUCAAGAAUUUCUACUAUAGCUGAAGAAUCAAACUAUGAGGAGAAAACUCGUGAAGAUAAAGACUUUGCACCAGCUAUCUUGAAUCCACAAUAAUAGAGACGAAGGAUGGAACCGAUUACAAGGGCCGAUACAUAAAAGAAGCAACCUAACGUCUUACAUUGUGUACUUUAGGAUCACACUCUCAUGGUCCAAACCCUUCAGCAAGUGAUCUUGAGUCUGCAACAAAUUCUCAUUACAAUUUAUUAGCCUCACACUUGGGAAGCCAUGAGAAGGCCAAAGAAGCAAUAUUUUACUCUUAUAAUAAACACAUCAAUGGUUUUGCUGCUGUACUUGAAGAGCAAGAAGCAAAAAUUGUAGCAAAAAAUCCAAGUGUAGUGUCUGUGUUCUUGAACGAAGGUCAUCAACUCCAAACCACCAGAUCAUGGGAAUUUCUUGGGCUAGAGAGUAAUGGAGUAGUUUCCAAAGGCUCCAUAUGGGAGAAGGCAAGUUAUGGAGAGGGUUUAAUCAUUGCUGGUAUUGAUACAGGUCACUUUCUUUUCUUAUUCUCAAACACUCAUAGUCAAAGUCUAAAUGUUCAAUUUUCAAAAGAGGAGGCUGCUUCUUUAUUCUUUGCUAAGAUAAGUAUUUUCUUUUUCUAGUUUGUAAGUCUUAUUCACCAAAUCAAUUAUGAUAUUCAUGUGGUACCAUUUUUCUUUAAUUAUUUUUAGUUUUUUACACCUCUUUUAUCAGUAACAAAACAAGAAAAAGUGAAAAACACAUUUUCAUGCUUCUAAAUUAUUCAAUCAGUUAUGUUCUUCACUCCUGAAUAGGUGUUACGCCUGAAUCUAGAAGCUUUAGUGUGUGUUUGGAUCAGCGUUAGCAGAAUUUGAUCUAGUCAUAAUUGGAUUUAGCCAUAAUUGGAUCUGGUCAGAAUUGGAUCUGUAAACGUGAGUUUGAGCGACGUGAUUUAUGUUUGGAUACAUUUACUAGAAUGAUUUGAUUAGAAUUGUUUUUAGGUAUGUAAUGACCAAACUGGGUAUAAUCAAAAUAGAGUAUGCAUAAAAUAAAUAACACAUUAAAAUAAGAAAAUAACUUGAUUUGUAUGAUUUCUAAAGUUUAAUUUAAUUUAAUUAGUACAAGAGUAUAGUAUUCCAUUUGACAUUUGUUUCCUUCAAAAAUCAAUUUUUAUAAAAAAAAAACGGUGGUUUUGCUUUUCUAAAAAGUUACCCAAACACUAAAGGCCCAUGGUGCUUUUCUAAAAAAAAUAAGCCCAUGGUUUUACCUUCCUAAUUCCUACCCUACCCGUGCCACAGAACAAGCGGUGGUAAUUUAACAUUACCAGUUUUAUCUCUCAAUUUCUCUCUCACUCUCACGCUGCUAUGUCCUAAACCAUCAAAAUACAGAAGAUAGAUCACUGGUCAGUAUUGAUAAUAAAGAGUGGGAAGGGUAAGAUGGACCAAAAUAUCUCACAGGCUCAGAUCCGGAUCCCCUCCACGCAGAAGCUACUCUUGCUUGCUUCAGUUGGAUCCACGUUUUGUUCCUGAAUCAAUUUUCAGAUUGAAGUACCCAAAUAUCUUUAAAGCAUAGAAGAUCCACGUUUGGGGCUCAGAUCCAUUUUUUAGGCCCAGAUCCACGUUUCAGAAGCUGAACCAAACACACACUUAGUGAUGAUGUUGGAAUGGGCCCUGUCCCAUCAAGGCGGCGUGGGGUCUGUCAACUUGACAAUUUUCGCUGUAAUAGGUUUGUCCUCGGCUUACACCACAGGUUCAUAGAGCAUAUAUGGAAAUAUUUAUAGAAUUGAUUCUGAAACAGGAAUCGAUUUUGAUGAGCAGCUCUUGUAAGUAGCUUCUCGGUUUCAGAAUUGAUUAUGAAGAAAGAGAAGUUUAUCCAAACAUGCUAAAUUUCUUCUUUGUACUUCAAAUAUGCUAGAAGGUCUUUUUCAUGUAAAUUGCUUCUUUGCACUACAUACUUGUAAGUGCUUUGAAGUUUUUACUUGGACAAAGUCAUGUUGAACUUACAAUAUGCUCUUAUGCCACAGCUGUAGAGAAUUGUCCCAAGAAUUUGAAUGUGAAAUUGAUAGGAGCAAGAUUCUUCAGCAAUUGUUAUGAGUGAAAACCAGCUCCAGCAGUAGCUUCAUUCUCAUCGAGGGGACCUAGCGCCAUCCAGCCAACAAUCCUCAAGGCUUUGUUUCAUCACUAACUUUGCCAUUAGUACAUUCUUUAUGCAUAUCCAGAAGCCAUAAGUCAAACUGGUCUUCCAUCAGAUUAUCGGCAGAUUCCAUAUAAUAUAGGGUCAGGAACUUCUGCAGCGUGCCCUCAUGCUUCUGGCAUCAUUGGCCUUCUCAAAACACUCUAUCCCAAUUGGAGUCCUGCAGCCUUAAAAUCUGCAAUUAUGACUACUGGUAUAUCUUUUAGACAUUAUCACAAACAUCUUCUACGCAAAAUGUUGAUAAGAACCUUGGGAGAACCACACCACAAAAGCUAGCUUAUCAAUGGUAUCAGAGCCUUCCACCAUGUCUCUGACCUGCAAACGAGCGGCGCGGGUGGUGACGUCGGCAUUACAGUGUUCACCCGGGACUAGUCGUGGGGCUAGUGCAAAGCCAACCCGCGUGGGCGCCGGGGCUGCGGAGCGUGGUGGGAUGUUAGGACCCCAUUGCAAGGUAUGGGACUUGAGUCCCACAUUGGAAGUAUGGGAUUCUAAUGUGGGGUUUAUAAGGCCUUGAGCUCUCCAACUACAACAACUAGCUUUUGUGGUGUGGUUCUCCCAAGGUUCUUAUCAAAUGUGCUAUGUUGUUUAGCAGUCAAGUUGGAAGUUCCAUACACCUGUGAACAAAUAACUAUUACUUUAAUAAAAGGUUGGUACAUAUUAACCAAUA
Molecule: RNA transcript, 4338 nt
Organism: Lotus japonicus
Lineage: Eukaryota; Viridiplantae; Streptophyta; Magnoliopsida; Fabales; Fabaceae
Gene name: subtilisin-like protease Glyma18g48580
Exons: 9
Source: RefSeq, a predicted model, not a curated record